GCUCGUUUUUUUUGUUAAGACCCAGAUAGACAACACCACCUCAAGCAAAUAUGUCAUGUAUGGAUACUUGUGUUUUAUUCUUUUCUCUACCUUUUCUAAUACUAACUUAAAAUUGUUUCCAUACCUUAUUAUCUAAAAUUUAUUUAUACAAAGUGCGUGUGAUAUAUAGAUUAGGUGGGUAGAUAUAAACUACUUUGCUAUCAUGGACCGGGUUUACAAAACCUAUGGGUUUACGGGUUUGGAUACUACA
Molecule: long non-coding RNA, 250 nt
Filed under: Sorghum bicolor (sorghum)
Lineage: Eukaryota; Viridiplantae; Streptophyta; Magnoliopsida; Poales; Poaceae
Description: long non-coding RNA (SBIC_LNC004432)
Source: RNAcentral